UUUCCAUGCCCUGGGUCACAAUGGAUGUGAGGGGCUCUGCAUGCCGGCCAGCGGCCCUUCGUGUCAUUUGGUUACCAGAGUCUCCUGGGAAGUCCAGGCUGCCCUGUUUGCUGUUGACUGUAGAUUCAGGAUUCUUUGGUUGGAAUGGAGAAAGACACCUCCCCCAGCCUUGGUGUCUAGGGCCACCUCUGGGGAAGAUGUGAUCUGUGGCCACUCACACAGGCACUUUGUCCAGAGGGUCCUCCAAGGCCACUGCAGAGGUACUGGGACCCAUUGAGCCUAGAGAGGCUGUCCUGUUUCUGAGGUCCUUGAGAAAUCUGGACAGGACAUCUAGGGUAAGAUCUUCAAAGCCAAGUCUGGGGUGGUAAGGGAUCCUGGUACCAAGUGACCUCCAGAGGACAGUGGCCUCCAGUCUCUGCAGAAGUGGGUUCCAGGCCUGGGCAUUUGGCAUCCCCUAGACCUACUUCUUCCCAUUGGGGUGGCACAUGGACCCAUAGACAGCUGCUGCUGGGACUUGCCCUGUUGGUUGCCAUCUUUUGAAGUCUCUGCUGUAGAGCCCUUGGCUCAUUGCACUACUGUGAUGCAGUCUGGUUUGUGUUCAGAAUGUCACAAUAAAUAUGCAUUCCUCCCCUGCCCCUAGCUUGUACUGUGGCGUCUGUCUCCAGUGGUGAUUAACAAAAGCCAGAGGCCCUGUGGAAGCUUUGGGGAGGAGGCUGGAACAAUUGAAGUACCAA
Molecule: non-coding RNA, 734 nt
Organism: Cricetulus griseus (Chinese hamster)
Lineage: Eukaryota; Metazoa; Chordata; Mammalia; Rodentia; Cricetidae
Source: RefSeq, a predicted model, not a curated record